UACGUAGGGGGCAAGCGUUGUCCGGAUUUAUUGGGCGUAAAGAGCGUGUAGGCGGCUUUACAGGUCCGUUGUGAAAACUCGAGGCUCAACCUCGAGACGCCGGUGGAAACCGUAAGGCUAGAGUCCGGAAGAGGAGAGUGGAAUUCCUGGUGUAGCGGUGAAAUGCGCAGAUAUCAGGAAGAACACCCGUGGCGAAGGCGGCUCUCUGGGACGGUACUGACGCUGAGACGCGAAAGCGUGGGUAGCAAACAGG
Molecule: ribosomal RNA, 253 nt
Filed under: uncultured bacterium
Lineage: Bacteria
Description: partial 16S ribosomal RNA
Rfam family: Bacterial small subunit ribosomal RNA
Source: RNAcentral